CAUAGCUCUUUGAAUAUAUAAAGGGUUACGCCUGCCCAGUGGAACAACUCUCAACGGCCGCGGUAUCUUGACCGUGCAAAGGUAGCAUAAUCACUUGUCUCUUAAAUGGGGACCUGUAUGAAUGGCAUUACAUGCUCUAACUGUCUCCCUAUUCUCCCUCUCAAACUUCUACCCACGUGAAGAAGCGUGUAUAAAAAAGAUAGACGAGAAGACCCUGUCGAGCUUCAGCUAACACUAAAAAUCUAGAAUUCUUUUAGAAUUUACUUAAUUUAGUUUAAGCUUUGGUUGGGGUAACCAUGGAGAAUAAAGUAUCCUCCAGUUUAACAAGAAGAUUUCAAAUCUCUUAAAUAUUAUUGAGAACCAGAAGUUCUGGAAAUCGGAAAAAGUUACCGCAGGGAUAACAGCGUUAUCUUCUCUAAGAGUCCGCAUUGACGAGAAGGUUUGCGACCUCGAUGUUGGAUUGGGGUAACCAAAAGGUGUAGCAGCUUUUUUAGGUUGGACUGUUCGUCCAUUAAAACCCUACGUGAUCUGA
RNAcentral lists this ribosomal RNA (532 nucleotides) under Paracaudina chilensis. RNAcentral's name for it is "partial 16S ribosomal RNA". It matches the Rfam family "Bacterial large subunit ribosomal RNA", at positions 1814 to 2608 of the family's 2925-position model. Lineage: Eukaryota; Metazoa; Echinodermata; Holothuroidea; Molpadida; Caudinidae. The record is from RNAcentral.